This 85-nucleotide transfer RNA is filed under the name Streptomyces sp. HB-N217. RNAcentral describes it as "tRNA-Ser". The record is from RNAcentral. Lineage: Bacteria; Bacillati; Actinomycetota; Actinomycetes; Kitasatosporales; Streptomycetaceae. RNAcentral also lists the same sequence under 2 other names.
ACGGGAGCGGGUAAGGCGCCCGACCCCCGAAAGGUCUUGAAAACCGUCGUGGCGCAAGUCACCGUGGGUUCAAAUCCCACACCCA